This is a non-coding RNA of Nicotiana tabacum (common tobacco), 316 nucleotides long. Lineage: Eukaryota; Viridiplantae; Streptophyta; Magnoliopsida; Solanales; Solanaceae. The record is from RefSeq and is a predicted model, not a curated record.
UUUGAAUUCAAAGCUUCAAAUUUUUUUAUAGUUGCCAUUUUUCUACUGUUUCAAAAUAACUAACCCAACAAAUUCGUCUCUAUUACAUCGGUGGGUUUACCAUGAGUCCUCUCAAUCCGAUAAGAGGUCUAUUUCUUUCGCAGAGUUGAUGGUGAAAGAAUUUUAUGGAUCGUCAAUGAAUUUGAAGAGGUUUGAAUUUGGAGAAAGAAGAAGAAGGAGAUAAAAUGGUGUAUAGAAUAACAACUGCCAGAUUAGCAAAAGAAAACAUUGAGUAGCGAGCUUCUAGAUCUAAUCAGGCAUCUAAAUGUUGCUUCCA